Molecule: small nuclear RNA, 150 nt
Organism: Erinaceus europaeus (western European hedgehog)
Lineage: Eukaryota; Metazoa; Chordata; Mammalia; Eulipotyphla; Erinaceidae
Gene: U12
Rfam family: U12 minor spliceosomal RNA
About the family: Although the U12 sequence is very divergent from that of U2, the two are functionally analogous.
Source: Ensembl
AUGCCUUAAAGUUGUGAGUAAGAAAAAUAACAAUUUGGGGUGAUACCUGAAUCCUCACUGCUAAUGUGAGAUGAAAUUUUGAGCAGGUAUAGGUUGCCCCUAAGGUGACCCACCUACUUUGCGGGAUGUGUGGGAGCUGCAACCUACCCA